Lycium ferocissimum is the source of this 595-nucleotide long non-coding RNA. RefSeq lists it as uncharacterized. The transcript has 3 exons. NCBI's taxonomy places the organism in Eukaryota, Viridiplantae, Streptophyta, Magnoliopsida, Solanales, Solanaceae. The record is from RefSeq and is a predicted model, not a curated record.
UUGGUAUGUGUUUAAGCAUUUAGAUGGUAGCAAAUACAAAUAAUGACUUAAACAACAUUAACUUUGUUUAUUUCAUUUGCAGGAAGUUUCUCUUGGUAGACCACCCACCCGUCAUGAGGUAUGGAAGAAGACCCAUACGAAAAUCGAAGACGGAAAAGAAGUUUGGGUCGAGCCAUGGGCAGUGGAUACCUAUGUAAGCUCUAAACUUACUUGGAAUAUAUUUGACUAGUAAUAUUAUUUUAUGGUUCCUGGAGGUACUUCCUAUAUUAUCUCCUCGUCUCGGUGUUGAGGCAAACUAGAGCAAUGCUUGAUUUUUGAAUCGAUAUAAUCUGGAGAGGAUGUAGAGGAUGAGGAGAUCAGGAGCAUGGAGACGAUAAGGAUCAGGAGAAUAGAGAGCAUGGAGAGGCUGAAAUGGAGUAUUAGGUGUCAAUUGUUAUUUUUUUCUAACUUCUGUUAUUUUGGAUCGUUUGAAGUCUAGUGGGAUGCUUUUGAUAUGUGUGCAUAACGUCAAAGUUGGCUGGAUAUGUACGAUGUUUGUUGGCUUAAUUUUAAUGCUUGAAUCAUUUCAGAGUAUUUUUAUUAUUGUUUUGAUGGC